AUUUAAAUAGUUUAUUAAAAUAAUGAUUUGUGAUAUCAUAGAUGUCUUUGUUGACUUUAAAUU
RNAcentral lists this transfer RNA (63 nucleotides) under Aphrophora maritima. RNAcentral's name for it is "tRNA-His". The record is from RNAcentral. Lineage: Eukaryota; Metazoa; Arthropoda; Insecta; Hemiptera; Aphrophoridae.